Molecule: transfer RNA, 61 nt
Filed under: Ictidomys tridecemlineatus (thirteen-lined ground squirrel)
Lineage: Eukaryota; Metazoa; Chordata; Mammalia; Rodentia; Sciuridae
Also listed under: 1 other name
Description: Spermophilus tridecemlineatus (thirteen-lined ground squirrel) tRNA
Rfam family: tRNA
About the family: Transfer RNA (tRNA) molecules are approximately 80 nucleotides in length. Their secondary structure includes four short double-helical elements and three loops (D, anti-codon, and T loops). Further hydrogen bonds mediate the characteristic L-shaped molecular structure. tRNAs have two regions of fundamental functional importance: the anti-codon, which is responsible for specific mRNA codon recognition, and the 3' end, to which the tRNAs corresponding amino acid is attached (by aminoacyl-tRNA synthetases). tRNAs cope with the degeneracy of the genetic code in two manners: having more than one tRNA (with a specific anti-codon) for a particular amino acid; and 'wobble' base-pairing, i.e. permitting non-standard base-pairing at the 3rd anti-codon position.
Source: Rfam by way of RNAcentral
UGUGGCUCAGUGGUAGAGCGCUUGUCUUGCAUGUGUGAGGCACUGAGUUCAAACCUCAGCA